UCGACGGCAGCGCGGGAGCAAUCCUGGCGGCGAGUGGCGAACGGGUGAGUAAUACAUCGGAACGUGCCCAAUCGUGGGGGAUAACGCAGCGAAAGCUGUGCUAAUACCGCAUACGAUCUACGGAUGAAAGCAGGGGAUCGCAAGACCUUGCGCGAAUGGAGCGGCCGAUGGCAGAUUAGGUAGUUGGUGAGGUAAAGGCUCACCAAGCCUUCGAUCUGUAGCUGGUCUGAGAGGACGACCAGCCACACUGGGACUGAGACACGGCCCAGACUCCUACGGGAGGCAGCAGUGGGGAAUUUUGGACAAUGGGCGAAAGCCUGAUCCAGCCAUGCCGCGUGCAGGAUGAAGGCCUUCGGGUUGUAAACUGCUUUUGUACGGAACGAAACGGCCUUUUCUAAUAAAGAGGGCUAAUGACGGUACCGUAAGAAUAAGCACCGGCUAACUACGUGCCAGCAGCCGCGGUAAUACGUAGGGUGCAAGCGUUAAUCGGAAUUACUGGGCGUAAAGCGUGCGCAGGCGGUUAUGUAAGACAGUUGUGAAAUCCCCGGGCUCAACCUGGGAACUGCAUCUGUGACUGCAUAGCUAGAGUACGGUAGAGGGGGAUGGAAUUCCGCGUGUAGCAGUGAAAUGCGUAGAUUUGCGGAGGAACACCGAUGGCGAAGGCAAUCCCCUGGACCUGUACUGACGCUCAUGCACGAAA
This 700-nucleotide ribosomal RNA is filed under the name Variovorax boronicumulans. RNAcentral describes it as "bacterial SSU rRNA". It matches the Rfam family "Bacterial small subunit ribosomal RNA", at positions 62 to 758 of the family's 1533-position model. The record is from RNAcentral. Lineage: Bacteria; Pseudomonadati; Pseudomonadota; Betaproteobacteria; Burkholderiales; Comamonadaceae.